GGAUGUGAGGGUGAUCUGGCUGCGACAUCUGUCACCCCACUAAUCACCAGGGUUGAUUUGGCUGAUCUGGUUGGCUAGGCAGGUGUCCCCUUCCACCCUCACUGCUCACGUGCUUCCCUCCUGAACCUCGGUCAGAGAAGAUGACCAUCCCCAAUAGAGGAGGACCAGUCUUCAUCAAGGGUAUAUGAGUAGCUGUGCUCUCCUGCUAGAACCUGCAAACAAGCUGUUAUAGCAACACAAAACAGACUAAGACAUGCAUUAUCAAUUUUGUGAAAAUAAAGGUCGUGUCUAAGCUGUAGAGGACCUU
Molecule: small nuclear RNA, 307 nt
Filed under: Callithrix jacchus (white-tufted-ear marmoset)
Lineage: Eukaryota; Metazoa; Chordata; Mammalia; Primates; Cebidae
Description: 7SK RNA
Rfam family: 7SK RNA
About the family: 7SK was discovered as an abundant small nuclear RNA in the mid-70s but a possible function has only recently been suggested. Two independent studies have found that 7SK RNA binds the CDK9/cyclin T complex (known as elongation factor P-TEFb).
Source: Rfam by way of RNAcentral